Molecule: transfer RNA, 79 nt
Filed under: Nitzschia alba
Lineage: Eukaryota; Bacillariophyta; Bacillariophyceae; Bacillariales; Bacillariaceae
Description: tRNA-His
Rfam family: tRNA
About the family: Transfer RNA (tRNA) molecules are approximately 80 nucleotides in length. Their secondary structure includes four short double-helical elements and three loops (D, anti-codon, and T loops). Further hydrogen bonds mediate the characteristic L-shaped molecular structure. tRNAs have two regions of fundamental functional importance: the anti-codon, which is responsible for specific mRNA codon recognition, and the 3' end, to which the tRNAs corresponding amino acid is attached (by aminoacyl-tRNA synthetases). tRNAs cope with the degeneracy of the genetic code in two manners: having more than one tRNA (with a specific anti-codon) for a particular amino acid; and 'wobble' base-pairing, i.e. permitting non-standard base-pairing at the 3rd anti-codon position.
Source: RNAcentral
GCGGGUAUAACUCAAUUGGUUAGAGUGUUAGGUUGUGGUUCUAAAAGUUACAGGUUCAAGUCCUGUUACUCGCCUCUUA